AGGGAGAGUGCCGGAUCCUGGGCUAUGUCCCCCAGCGCCCUAGGCUCCAGGGGCUGCACCGCUGGAAUUGUGCUCCCAGGGCCGCACAGCCCCCU
This 95-nucleotide microRNA precursor is filed under the name Canis lupus familiaris (dog). Its description in RNAcentral is "mir-8799 microRNA precursor family". It matches the Rfam family "mir-8799 microRNA precursor family". RNAcentral also lists the same sequence under 1 other name. The record is from Rfam by way of RNAcentral. Lineage: Eukaryota; Metazoa; Chordata; Mammalia; Carnivora; Canidae.